GCCUGGUGGCCAUAGAGCCUUGGCACCACCCGAUCCCAUCCCGAACUCGGCAGUGAAACAGGGCUUCGCCGAUGAUAGUGGGGGCUCGCCCCCGUGAAAGUAGGGCACCGCCAGGC
Molecule: ribosomal RNA, 116 nt
Filed under: Methylohalobius crimeensis
Lineage: Bacteria; Pseudomonadati; Pseudomonadota; Gammaproteobacteria; Methylococcales; Methylothermaceae
Source: RNAcentral